This 240-nucleotide ribosomal RNA is filed under the name Cryptosporidium sp. chipmunk genotype II. RNAcentral describes it as "partial 18S small subunit ribosomal RNA". It matches the Rfam family "Eukaryotic small subunit ribosomal RNA", at positions 439 to 680 of the family's 1831-position model. The record is from RNAcentral. Lineage: Eukaryota; Apicomplexa; Conoidasida; Eucoccidiorida; Cryptosporidiidae.
AAUUACCCAAUCCUGACACAGGGAGGUAGUGACAAGAAAUAACAAUACAGGGCCUUUCGGCUUUGUAAUUGGAAUGAGUUGAGUCUAAACCCCUUUGCGAGUAUCAAUUGGAGGGCAAGUCUGGUGCCAGCAGCCGCGGUAAUUCCAGCUCCAAUAGCGUAUAUUAAAGUUGUUGCAGUUAAAAAGCUCGUAGUUGGAUUUUUGCUAAAUCUUGUGCAUGUGCUUUUCUUGCUCCUGCAC